AUCAAAAACUCCCUUGUUCAAACACCUAAAAACGACGUCGGAGAACAUGUCAAUACACAGGACAGAAUCUAUCACCAAAUGCUCACCAGUUCAAAAUGACCUGCUUAACUAUAAAGCCAAAAAAAACUAAUGUGAAUAAAUGGAUUCGAGAUCAGAUCGAGAGAGAAACCGACGAAAUGAGGAGAACGAGUUGUUAGAGCUUACCAGAAGAAGAAGUUGUUUUCAAAUAAUCACAGCGAGAUUUGUAGAUUAAGAACCCGACAAGAUUUAGGGAUCCACCAAUCGCUCUGUCCUUUCCGUUUGACAAACUGGAGACGACGAAAAGAUAUCAAUAAAUGACAGAGUAAACAGGUAAGCCCUUUUUUUUUAGGGAA
This 374-nucleotide long non-coding RNA is filed under the name Brassica napus (rape). RNAcentral describes it as "long non-coding RNA (BNAP_LNC017377)". The record is from RNAcentral. Lineage: Eukaryota; Viridiplantae; Streptophyta; Magnoliopsida; Brassicales; Brassicaceae.